AGCGGUGGAAUGCGCAGAUAUCAGGAGGAACACCGAUGGCGAAGGCAGUUCUCUGGGCCGUAACUGACGCUGAGGAGCGAAAGCGUGGGGAGCGAACAGGAUUAGAUACCCUGGUAGUCCACGCCGUAAACGUUGGGCGCUAGAUGUGGGGACCUUUCCACGGUUUCCGUGUCGUAGCUAACGCAUUAAGCGCCCCGCCUGGGGAGUACGGCCGCAAGGCUAAAACUCAAAGGAAUUGACGGGGGCCCGCACAAGCGGCGGAGCAUGCGGAUUAAUUCGAUGCAACGCGAAGAACCUUACCAAGGCUUGACAUACACCAGAACGCCGCAGAGAUGCGGAACUCUUUGGACACUGGUGUACAGGUGGUGCAUGGUUGUCGUCAGCUCGUGUCGUGAGAUGUUGGGUUAAGUCCCGCAACGAGCGCAACCCUCGUCGUAUGUUGCCAGCACGUCAUGGUGGGAACUCAUAUGAGACUGCCGGGGUCAACUCGGAGGAAGGUGGGGAUGACGUUAAAUCAUCAUGCCCCUUAUGUCUUGGGCUUCACGCAUGCUACAAUGGCCGGUACAAAGGGCUGCGAUGUCGUAAGGCGGAGCGAAUCCCAAAAAGCCGGUCUCAGUUCGGAUUGAGGUCUGCAACUCGACCUCAUGAAGUCGGAGUCGCUAGUAAUCGCAGAUCAGCAACGCUGCGGUGAAUACGUUCCCGGGCCUUGUACACACCGCCCGUCAAGUCAUGAAAGUCGGUAACACCCGAAGCCGGUGGCCUAACCCCUUGUGGGAGGGAGCCGUCGAAGGUGGGAUCGGUGAUUAGGACUAAGUCGUAACAAGGUAACCAAGGG
This 835-nucleotide ribosomal RNA is filed under the name uncultured bacterium. Its description in RNAcentral is "bacterial SSU rRNA". It matches the Rfam family "Bacterial small subunit ribosomal RNA", at positions 677 to 1506 of the family's 1533-position model. The record is from RNAcentral.